UCAAGCUACAAAGAGCACAAGGGGAAUGCCUUGGCACUGAGAGCCGAUGAAGGACGUGACUAACUGCGAUAAGCUACGGGGAGCUGUAAGUGAGCGUUAUAUCCGUAGAUUUCCGAAUGGAGCAAUCCGAUUAGAGGAAAGUCUAAUCAUCAUAUACUGAAUACAUAGGUAUAUGAGGGGAACCGCCUGAACUGAAACAUCUAAGUAGGGCGAGGAAGAGAAAUCAACUGAGAUUCCGUAAGUAGUGGCGAGCGAACGCGGAAGAGGCCAAACCUAAUGUAGUAAUAUGUUAGGGGUUCGGACAGUAUAAUGAAUUGUCGAGAUUUAGCCGAAUGUCAUGGGAAGGGCAAUCAAAGAAGGUGAAAAUCCUGUAGGCGAAAAGUUAAGACAUCAGACUGUAUCCAGAGUACCGCCGGACACGUGAAACCCGGUGGGAAUACGGGGGGACCAUCCUCCAAGCCUAAAUACUACUCGGUGACCGAUAGAGAAGAAGUACUGUGAAGGAAAGGUGAAAAGCACCCCGGAAGGGGAGUGAAAGAGAACCUGAAACCUUGUGUUUACAAGCACCGAAAGUUCAUCAACGAACGAUCGGGUACCUUUUGUAGAAUGGUCCGGCGAGUGAAUGUAACUGGCAAGGUUAAGCACUUAAGGUGUGAAGCCGUAGCGAGAGCGAGUCUGAAAAGGGCGCAUGAAGUCAGUUGUAUUCGACCCGAAACCGGGUGACCUACCCAUGUCCAGGCUGAAGUGCAGGUAAAACUUCAUGGAGGGCCGAACCGACUCCCGUUGAAAUGGUAGCGGAUGAGGUGUGGGUAGCGGAGAAAUUCCAAUCGAACCCGGAGAUAGCUGGUUCUCUCCGAAAUAGCUUUAGGGCUAGCCUUGGAAUAGAUUACUGGAGGUAAAGCACUGAAUUGGCUAGGGGCCGAGAGGUUACUGAACCUUAUCAAACUAAGAAUGCCAGAUAAUCGUUUUCCAGGAGUCAGACAGUGGGAGAUAAGUUUCAUUGUCAAAAGGGAAACAGCCCAGACCUACAGCUAAGGUCCCAAAGUACAGUUAAGUGGAAAAGGAUGUGGAAUUGCAUAGACAACCAGGAUGUUGGCUUAGAAGCAGCCACUCAUUAAAAGAGUGCGUAAUAGCUCACUGGUCGAGUGAUUCUGCGCCGAAAAUUUAACGGGGCUAAACUAUACACCGAAGCUUAGGAUACCGCAAGGUAUGGUAGGAGAGCGUUCUGUACGGAGUGAAGUCGUAGCGAAAGCGGCGGUGGACUGUACAGAAGUGAGAAUGCCGGAAUAAGUAGCGAGAAUUAAGUGAGAAUCUUAAUGGCCGAAAGUCUAAGGUUUUUGGAGGAAGGUUCGUCCGCUCCAAGUAAGUCGGGAGCUAAGGUCAGGCCGAAAGGCGUAGCCGAUGCACAAACGGUUGACAUUCCGUUACCGUCUACAAUUUAAACAAAGGGACACAUACAAAGCGUUUAACCCGGGCGAUGGUUGACCCGGGCGCAAGGGACUGAAAUAAGAGUAGGGAAGUAAAUGUGGCGUAUGGCGAGAAAAGCUUUGUGAAUAGAAGUAGACGCCCGUACCGCAAACCGACACAGGUGGACAGGAAGAGAAUUCUAAGGCCAGCGGGAGAAGGGUAGUUAAGGAACUCGGCAAAUUGACUCCGUAACUUCGGAAUAAGGAGUGCUCGAAAGAGCCGCAGAGAAUAGGCCCAGGCGACUGUUUAGCAAAAACACAGGUCUCUGCUAAAUCGAAAGAUGAAGUAUAGGGGCUGACACCUGCCCGGUGCCGGAAGGUUAAGAGGAGGAGUGCAAGCUCCGAAUUGAAGCCCCGGUAAACGGCGGCCGUAACUAUAACGGUCCUAAGGUAGCGAAAUUCCUUGUCGGGUAAGUUC
Molecule: ribosomal RNA, 1884 nt
Filed under: human gut metagenome
Description: bacterial LSU rRNA
Rfam family: Bacterial large subunit ribosomal RNA
Source: RNAcentral